This 15639-nucleotide long non-coding RNA is filed under the name Sarcophilus harrisii (Tasmanian devil). Its description in RNAcentral is "lncRNA (ENSSHAG00000031392.1)". Lineage: Eukaryota; Metazoa; Chordata; Mammalia; Dasyuromorphia; Dasyuridae. The record is from RNAcentral.
GCUAUCAACACAAGAUUUUUAAAGGCAGAGUAUAUUUUGGCAACUAAAAAUAUACUACUUCGCUUAGCCUUGUGUUGGAUGAAAGUCAGAUGAGGAUUGGAUCUGACCUGUGGUUCAGAAGUUUGUCAAUCUUGAUCUAAGAAGAUUUUCCUUUUUUAGGCUGUUACUAUGUCUUGGCAUAUGGGUGUCCGUGAGAUGAAUAAAUGGGAGAUGACACAGGAAGCUGCAUGUCACAGUUGAUCGAAAAUGACAUAGACAUUGAAAAUCAGGAUUUUGGCCCACCUCUGAGCUCCCUGUUGAAUGGCGAUCACAAUCAGGAGAAAUGCAAAUGAAAAAUGAAAAAAAGUUCCUGGGAUUGGAUCUAAUGAACUUACACUAUAAAGUGUAAGUUUCGAAUUGUUUCAGAGUUAUUUAUGAUAUUAGCAGAGUAUCUCAGGUGUGGGUUCUUCUGAUUGCAUUCAUUCAUCGGCCCCAAGCUAUUUGUGUCUGAAUUCUCUCUUCCAUGAUCAAAAGCAAAACUAAAGAAAAUGUCAGUCAUUUGUUUAUUCAUUAUUUUUAGCACCAAGUUAACUAGUAAUUGGAAGAAUGAUAGAUUUACUGUAAACCACGUGGUAACCCCCCAGAAGAUUAACAAGGAUGACUAGAUGUUCUCAUGCUGCAGCUUUUGUUCUGGGUUUUUUUCAUAUACUUCAUUGGAAAUCAAAUAGUCAUAUUAUUGUACUCUGUCAUUUUAAAAAAGGCAAUCAAAGGCCUUUUCUGAUCCACUCUGAACUGGAGCAGUUUUUGUCAUCAUGACAAAAAUGGCAUGACUAUCUUUGCCUAAUUCUUGCCAGGCUUUUUAUUUCCUUUUCCUCUAGAUUUCUUUUUGGAUCCUGUCUUCUCAAUAUUCUCUAAAGGUAUUUUGGGUGGGGUGGAAAAGGAGAAGUCUAAUAAUGCUCCAUCAAAUCAAAUAUUUAUUAUAAUACAACAAAUGUUUAUUGCAUUUCACACAGGACAUUGUACUUAGAGAAGGUAAAUUUCCUCCCUUUAAGGAGUUCAUUGUCUAGAAAAGGAUAAGACAUUAUUAUAGAUGCCUAAUGUACAACCUGUACAUAAUACCUGACAUAUAAUAAGUACUUAAUAAAUUUUUAUCUGUCUAUGUUAAAAUGUAAAGUUAUAAACUAAUGUACUGUUUGUGAUCUUAGGGAAAAUAUUUACCAUGAGGAUGAAGUCUGUAUUUUACUAGAUCUUUCUUGUUUCUGAAAAGUUGCCUUCUCAGUAAACAAAAUGGACUGAUGCAUCCCUGUUAUAGAUUCUGGUUGCUAUGGAAAUCUUUUAACUCCAAAUUAACUGCAAAGUUUUUAAAAUGGGCUGUUGAAGACAGAACAUUCCUCCCAGGAAGUCCUGCUGCUCCCCCAUCCCUGAAAGGAAUUUUACCUCAGAUAGACCAAAGUGACCCACUCUAUUGCCUGGACCCUACGCUGCUGAACAGAUAAUUAGUAUUGACCUGCAGGCUUAUGCUGUCUGUCUUCCCUCUUCCACUGAGGCCGUCUCUGAAAGCUAAAUUAAGCAGUAGCAUCAUUCUGUCUUCUAGUUUUUGGAGUGGUUUCUUUCAGAGCAGAACUAACUCAUUUGUGACUUUGUCACACGCCUGUCCAUUAUGGUCUGGCACACUUUUAAGGCCGUGACAUUGACCCCGCUCAGGGAGUUGCUCAUUAACACAUUCUCUGGGCAACACAGCACAGGAGAGCUGUCCGUUUUUAUUCUUGCUUUCUCUGGGGUGGCAUUGAAGCAAGACUUACAGCUGCUGAAAACUGCAAGUUAGGUCAAAUAAUAAUGUGAAGAGUUCACAUUUGCCUAGUGCUUUAUAUUUGCAAAAGACUUUACAGAGAUUUUUUCAUUUUAAUCUUAGGACAGACCUGGGACAUUGGUAAGAAAAAUAAGGUUAUCCCCAUUUUACAGAUGAUUAAAUGGAGAAAUAUUAAGUGACUUAUACAAGAUUAUUCAGUAAAAGUUGUUUAGUUGUCAGUAAUGCCGGACUCUUUAUGAUCCCUUUUCAGGCUUUCUUGGCAAAGAUAAUGAAGUAUCUUUUCCUUCUUCAGAACAUUUUACAGAUGAGGAAACUGAGGCAAACAGGGUUAAGUGAUUUUCCUAGGGUCCUGCAGCUACUAAAUAUCUGAGGCUGAAUUUUAACUUAGGAGAAGGAGUCUUCCUGACUCCAGGUCCAGCACUCUUUCCAUUGCCCCACUUAGUAAAUAGUGAGAAACAUGAACCUCUGUAAUUAUUUGUUUGUUUUUUUAAUUCCAAAUCUGGUCAUCUUUCCAUUUUUUUGCAUAUCUAAAAAUCUAUCUUCAUGCCAUUCUCAAGUUGGACAUCCCUUGUACAGCCCAAGCUUUUCUUGGCUAAUGAACAUUAAGCAGUUCAUAUGUUUGUGAUUUUUUUUUUGUCUCUAAAUUUUAGCAGAAAUGAAGAAGAUGGAAUUGGGGAGGGUGUUGUAUUCAGCAAAAGAAAGAAUUCUGAAAAUUCUAGGAAAAAAGAGGAUGGGAAAAAGUGGUUUUCCCCAGUUCUACACUUUUAUGGGGUCAUUGUCCACACAGACCUACUGCUGAUUAAAGUCUGAGUUUUUUUAUGUUUUUAUUUUCACAGAAAAAGAGCCCUCUUUGUGGAAGGGAUAUCGUAAUCCCAAAUUACCUGUUUUUCUCUUUAUUUUUGGCCAAAAAACUGUCCUUUUCCAAUUUCCUUGAGUAUGCUCUGAACCUGUUAGAAAUGGAAAUUCUCCAGUCGAAAAUUAACAGCAGGUAUAGCUAAAAACAACAGGUGUUAAGAAUAAAUCCACUAGGUUAUGGAGGGAAGUGGUCUGCAUAUUACUGAUAAAAGUAAGUAGGUGCAAUUCAUCUGAUGCAGCAUGUGGCUAGAACAUCAAUGUGCACUGAAGCAAAUAAAAAUUUAAGGUCAUUAUUUCUGUCAACUGACCUGACUUCCCUUCUUUCUUACAUAUGAAGUGAAUUUUCUUUCUAACCACUGAAGUGAAGAAUUCAUAUAUUCCUCCUGUAGGAACAUUCUACCAUUUUAAAAAAUUGUUAAUUUUAUAUCUUAAUGAACAAAAAUAUAUUUUCUGUACCUCCCACUUCCCCUACCCUUAUUGAAAAUCAAAAAAGAAAAAAAAAUACUUGUAACAAAUAUAUGUUACAAACAUAUAUUCUCUUAUUGGUUACAAUAAAAAAUUAUGUCUCAUGGUUCCUAGGUCCCUCACUUCUCUGGAAUCAUGGUUCCUACUGCAUCUUUGUAAAGAAUGUAAAACAACUUUGAAAAGAUUACAUAAUUAUUUCUUUCUGCUGUCCAUGGUGGUGGUAGCAUGUGUAUUCUAAGGAGUUAAUCUUGUGAAGAUGGUACAUUUUAUAUUCAUUUUGCUAUAAUCUGUGAAAUCAAAAAAUUUAGGGGUUAGAAAUAAUUUCUGUUGUCAUUUGGGCCAAUGUCUAUAUGAAGCAUUAAUAUAACAUUCUGAACAAAUAUCAUCAUACUUCUAUUAGGAGUCUCUUCAGAUGGAGAAGUCACUACCUUUCCAAGCAGUCUAUUCCACUUUUCAAUAUUGAAUUGAAAUUGACUCUGCAAUUUCCACCCUUGUUCAUCAUCUACCUGAUAGAGCCAAGAAAAUCAAGACUGAUCUUUUUUUAUAUAUGAUAGCCUUCAAGAUUGUUAUUUUUGUCAAGGCAAUUGGGGUUAAGUGACUUGCCCAGGGUCACACAGUUAGUAAGUAUUAAAUUUCUGGGGCUGGAUUUGAAAUCAAGUCCUCCUGCUUCAGAAUCAAUACUCUAUCCACUGCACCUUCUAGUUGUACCACCCUUCAAAUUUCUGAAGACAAAGAUCACAUUCCUUUCAAGUUUCUUCUCUUGACUAAGCAAUUUCAUUGUCUUUAACCAAUCUUAUGAUAUGGUUUCAAAUCACACGUGCUACCUUAGAUAUGAAAAAAACAAAUUGGAACCUAAAAAACAGAAAUGGAGGUUUUCGCUUUGUUCAUUUUAAAACAGAGCUCAGGAGAAUUUCAUUAUUUUUAACAAGUAUGUAUAGUGUAAUGUCAUAGCUAUUCUAACCAUGGGCUUGAGAUAUGACCAAUUUAAGUUUUGAGAUGUGACCAACAUAAGUUGAAUCACAGACUACUCAGCUUUACUGUUGGUCUCUCGGGGCAUUUAGGGAAAGCACCUUACAACAAAUAAUACCACCUUAACUUUCUAUAUGGCCUCUUCCUUUUCUAAGUAAUUUCCUUUCUCUCAUUUAAUCUUUGUAGAAAAAGCACUUAUUCUAAAAUCAAACGAUCUAGAUUUAAAUUCCUAUGUUUGGUGUUUAAUGCUUGAAAUAACCCUCCCUAGGCCUCAGUUUUCUUAUCUGGAAAAUGGGAAAGACUCUUCCAGGUCCAGAGCUAUGAUUCUAGAAGCCAUAUGAAGAAAGUUUUUUUUUUUGGGGGGGGGGCACAUAAUAAGUGUUUAAUAUCUAUUUCUUAAAUGAAUAUAAUUUCCCCAAGAUAUUCAGAAGGUAGGGUAAAGCUAAGAAUAAAAAUAGAAAGAUAAUCAUGGUGUCUUAGUGAUGAAAAGGCUUUUGGGGGUUCUUUAAUUGGCUAUUUAUAGUGACAGAGAAUAUCAGUGGUUCUAGCUCACUAAAUAAACCAUUUAAUUUUUGGAAAGUUCUGUUAAACUAUUCACUCUUGGUUCUCUUCCUAUCACUUUAACCACUCAUAACUCAUUUUCUGGCUUAUCACCUAUAUCAUACACUUUAAUUGUAGAUGCUUUCUAAGGGAUUAUCCUGAAUGCUUUUCUCCUUUUUCUUUACACUCUUCUCUCUGUCUGCUCCUAUCUGUACAUUUCUCUCCUCUCUUCUUUGUCUGUCUCUGUUCUUCCUCUUUUUUCUCUUAUCUCUUUCUCUUUUUCCUUUUCACUGUCUCUCUCCUCUUUCUUACCUCUCUUUCUUCACUCUCACUCUUCUCACUGUCUCUGUCCUUCUCUUUGUUUCUGUUUCUCUUCUCUUGUCUGCUUAUUUAUAUUUAUUCAAUUUAUAUUCAUUUUGUAUAUUUAUUCUCUAUUCAGUUUGUAUAUUUUUAUUUAUUUUGCACAUAUAUAUGUACUUCCCCCAUCCUUUUCCAUUACAAUUUAAAUUCCUUGAGAGUAACUUGCUUCAUUCUUUGUUUGUAUCCUUAGAGCUUCACAACAGGUGUUUGAGAAAUGUUUAUUGAUUGGUACUAGUUUAGUCCAAAUUAAGUCAGCAUCUUAUAAACCUCAGACAAAUCAGAAUUCCCCUCUUAUAUUUUACAUAGUUAACUUUUAAUAGAAAAUUAAUGAUUUCUAUUUAUAUCUAUUAAAUUUCUCAUUGCUUAUAUCCUAUUCUUCCAAAAUGCUAGCAUCUUUUUGAAUCUUGACUUUGUUUUGAGUUUAUAGAAUUAGUUAUUCCUCUCAGAUUGUGCUAUUAGCAAACUUGCUUUCUGUCUGUUUGAUGUCUUCUAGGCUUCUCAAACUCAACAUGUUCAAAAUAACACUCAUUAUCUUCCUUAAAUCUCAAUCUCCCAAAUUUCCAAAGCACUGAGAAUGCCAUUAUUGUUCCAAUUGCCUUGGUUCGAAGAACCCAGCAUCAUUAUUGUAUCAUUCCUCUCCUAAACCUCUUCAUACCUAAUUAAUUGCCAAAUUUUGUUAAUUCUACCUUACACUUCUAACCUUUUCCCAUAUAGUUACUUUAUGUCUUCAGGGUAGUCAAAUCACCAAUUUUAUAAAAUUAUCAUUUCAAAGUAUCCAUUGACACACCCUUUGCUAAAAUAGAUUACCACUCCCCCAUUACAUAGUUGAUAUAUUUGUGAAUUAUUGUGAGGGGAAAAUCACUCUCUGAUGUUCUGCAUUCUGGUGGUAAGCAUCUUUGAAUUCUGUUAUUAACUCUGUGAUCUUGAACAACACACUUAAUAUUUCUUAGUUCUGUUUUCCUUAUUUCUAAAAUUAGGGGGGUGAUCUGAGGCUGAAAUUCUUUACCUUGGGUUCAUAGAAGGGAUUCAUGGAUAGAUUUCAGAGAGUCUGUGAAUUUGGAACUUUUGAUAUCUUGAUAAUUGUACUUCAAUAUUGAUUCCCUCUGUAGUCCUCUGUAUUUUGUUUUAUGCAUUUAAGAACAGUAUUCUCAAAGGGAGAGGACAGGCUUCACUGGUCAGACAAAGGAGAUUGUGAUACAUAAUUGGUCAAUAAUCAUUGCUUUAAAGUUUCUUCCACUCCUGAACUAUUUCUUAACUAGGCUGGACAUUUCUUAAUAGCAUAUAAUUUAAAAGGCUUCCUGGGACUUGUGGGCUACUCCUAUAGGAGAAUAAUCUUUGAAUAUAAAAUAGCCUUUGAGGAUCUAGUGUCAGCUCCCUGGCAUGAUAAGGUCUUAUAAUGGGAUGUGAUUGGAAGACCAACUUAAUAAUGAAUUUGUAAGUAGGUUAUAAAUUUAAAGCUGAUUUUGCCUUUCAUUUUCAAAGAGGACCUAUGACAUCAUAAGGUGAUGACUUGACUUGCGUGUGAAUUGGAUUGUGUGCGAAAUUGUGCAAAGUCAUCAGCUUUACUCUCUUCCAAAGUCAUCGAAGUUCAGUGGCAAGACAAAGGUCAGGAUGUCCUACGAUGACUCAGGUUACAGUGGGUUCCCUUGGCAUCUUUGACAUCUGGUAUAUGGGGUGUUUAGGGAGGACUAGCAUCUCUGGCAUGAGGGCUUGCCAAGUCAUUUCCAGAGAUGCUUAUGCACUUUUGGUGUCCAUCUCUUAUUCAAUUUUCAUGUAUGGCUCCAGGAAGGCAUAGCAUGCACAAUGGUCAAAGCCCCAUAACCAACAGGUCUCAAACCCAUUGUCAAAUUUAAAACAAUUUCUUCCAAAAGCCACGAAGGUGGCUGAAUCAGACACUGGGGAAAUUUUGUUUCUUGAUGAAACAUAAAUACCUUAACUUGGCUUAUAAAGCUCUACACAGUUUGACUCUCACCCUCAUUUCCAGAUUUAUUUCAUAUUUACUCUCUUCAGUAUAUAUUUUUCCAUUUUGCCAGAUUUAUUUUUAAUGAAUUCUUUUCCUCAGUAAUUCUCCUCCAAGCUCUCAUUAUUCUACCUCUCUUUUAAGGUCUUUAUGGAACUUUUCCAAGAGAACCUUUUGAGCUGGAGACCAAUUCAUAUGCCCCUGACUUCACCUGAAGGCACUUCACUUUUGCUGUUCUUUUCUGGGUUUCUGUUUUGCUCUUCCCUGUCUCCAUAGUAGCUGUUUAUGGUCAGACCCCCUUUUUAUUUUUUGCUCAUUUGUAAAGAUUGAGGUCUGCUCCCAGAGGACAAGGGAGCUUCCUCUGCAGGGCAACAGAGGCUUCUCACUGACUGUAUUGGGGCUGGGGUUGCUGCAGGCUUCUCCAUUGCAUUGGGUGUUUCUGAUCAAAUCCUGCUUAUUAUACUGGUGUUAGGGGGCUCACAAUUUGCCUUUUGUAGUUGCAUUGGAAGUCUCACAGCUGGUCUGCUGAUCCACUGACCUUCUGAACCAGAUCAGAGUAGAAAAUGCUGCUGUAGUUUGGCUAGCUUGUUUCCCCACACCCCACGAUUACUAGCCCUGGCCUGCAUUCCUACCUGCCCAAUUGAGACAGACCAUUCCUAAAGUCCUUUCAAGAUAUCUUAAGCUGGAAAUUAUUACACUCCAAAUAUUUGUGGGUUCUGUCACUUCAAGUGACAUUCAGAGGCUUGAUCUAGUGUUGGUUCUGGGGGAAGCUGGGGAGAAUUUAGGCAAUGUCCUGCUUAUUCUCUAUCAUCUUGGCUCAACCCCCAUAUAUUUAUUCUCAUUUGUGUACUCUAUGUUAUAGCCAAAUUGGACUGAGUUCUUCAAAAUUAUUAAUCAGUCUAUUAUUUGUAGAUGUUUAUUUAUAAACUUAUAGUUAGAAUAUAUUCUCUUCCUUCUCUUUGCCCAUAGAAAUCCUUAACUUCCUUUAAAAAAAGGAAGAUUAAUAUUCUGAAAAAGAAAAGGAAUUUUUCUGAAGGGCAGAGAAGAAGAGAACAGAUUUAGGAGAUGCCAUGAGAGGUUAUAUUUCUUCCAUAGCCCUUCUCUGACCACCUCAGUAGUUGACAUUCUCUCCUAUCUCAUAAUUACCUGGACACAUGUUGUAUCUUCCCAAUAGAGUAAAAUUCCUUGAAAACUUUAUCUUUGUCCUUGUAUCUCUAUCACCCAACAAAGUACUAUACAACUAGGCUGAGCCUGGACUCAACCAGUCAGUCAAAAUACAUUUAUUAAGCACUUAACUUGUUAACUCUACUGUACUAAGCAUUAGAAAUACAAAGAAAGUAAAAGACAAUCCUGUUCUCAAGGAGCUAACAUUCUACUUGGGAGACAAGAUAUAUACAACUAUGUACUAACAAGACAUAUUCAACAUCAAAUAGAGGUAAUGAACAGUAGGAUUAUGAAGGAAUGGGAAAGGCUCCCUUUAGGUGGGACUAGAAAGAAGUCAGGGAGUCAGAAAAAAUGGAGUUCAAAUUUGGCUUUAGAUAGUUAUUAGCUAUGUUAACUUUGGCAACAUCACAACUUCUAUUUACCUCCAUUUUCUUAUCUGUAACAUGGAAAUAAUAACACCUCCCUUUCAGGAUUGUUGUAAGUCUAAAAUGAGAUAGUACUUGGUAAACACCAUGUAAGUCUUUAAACUCUAUAUAAACAUUGCCAAAUAGCUAUAAAGUACUUUAAUAAGUACUCAUCAAAUUAAUAAAUAAUAUUAAUAAAAGACCUUUAGGAGUUAUUAAGAAUCACUAUUCUCUUCCAAAUGUUCCCAGACCAUCUUUUAAAUAAAUUUUUUUAGAAUUUUGCUGAGAAUAAACAUCAAAUUUAUUCCUCUUCAUUUACAUAAUCUGUCCUAGCCCUAUUUAAAGAAAAAUUGCACUAUUUGUUCAUCUCAAGUCUUUGGAUUCCUUUUCUAUUUGUUUCAAUUGAAGAAUGCUCUUGAUAUUCAUUCUUGUGAUAUGGAAUGCUAUGCUUUGUGAAGAUGCUAUGAAAUGAGCCAUCAGAUGUGUAUUGAGGUGCUAUAUCAAAGUACCAUAUUGCGAGCUUGUCAUAUUGUCACUGUAGAGGGAUACGUAGAAGGAUUUAAAGUUAGAACACCUCAAUUUGUCAUUUAAUAGUUGUGUGACUGGUUAAAUCAUUUAACCUUGAGGAGUUAAAGUUGCCUUAUGUGUAAAAUGAGAAUAAUAUACUUUAUAUGAUUAUUAUAGGGAUGAAAUGAAAUAAUAUAUGCAAGGCAUUUUGUAAAUCUUUGACAUUACUCAUAAAUAAUGUUCUACAUUUAUUUCUUUAUCACUGUUGGUAGUAUAAUUUGUAGUUUGAACACUAUAAUCUGAGACUUGAGUUUUAUGGAAAGAGCACUGAAUUCAGUCAGAAUCCAAAUUCAACCCUUCUGUUCCUUAGUAUUUGUGUAAUGUUGAAAAAGUCAUUUCACUUUCUUGGGCCUCAGUUUCCUCAUCUAUAAGAAGAGAGCAAAACCAAAUGACUUCUAAUAUCCCUUUCAGGUCUAAAGUCUACAGUCUAAAGAAAAUGAGUUGCUACCCCAAAAGAGGCUUGGAGAUCUCUCACUGUUUUUUACCCAUCUUGGGCUCCCUUUUCUGUUGUUUAUUCCACUCUUUCCAGUUUUCCACCAAGAAGAAUGAUUUUCAAAGAGAGAAUCAAAAUUGAAUCAGACCCAAAAUUCAGGUCUCCUGACUCCCAGACAGUAGGGAACCAAAUGCCCCAUCUGCUUCCUGACCCCCCAGAUGUUCUCUGGCUCCGAGAUGUCCCGUGAUAGAAACAGCAGGGAUUGGUCUGUCUCUCCAGCUUUCACUUUGUUGGUUUCUUCUGCUUCACAAAUAGCAACUAUUGAAGUUUACAGUCAAAGUGCACAUCAUGUUGACCUUGUGUCAGCUUCUUGGCAUUCUUCAGCUAGUAUAUUAAUGGUAAACUUUUCUUUUAAUCACUUGUCACAUAUGGGAGUAUUUUGAAUCAUGUUUGCAACUCACUAUAAGAGAAUAAAGACACUACAAUCCCUUUUAUACAGAUUUUUAAGGAGUACUUUCUCUGAGUAUUAGUUGAUUUCCUUUUGGAAGUGGUAAUUAGGUUAUUCUGGCUUGAGACUUAAGUGUUCUGUGAUCAGAUGAAUGAUUCUGUUACCUGGCUGAUGAGUAACAUGUCUCUUGCCAUUAGAUACCUUGUGUCUGGCCCAAGACUAGAAUGAGAAAAGUAGGUGGUUCAAGCCACAUGUUCUACUUUUUUCCUGAAAACUCUUUUGUCUUUACUUGUAAGAAUGUAGGAUUUAGAGAACAGAAUCAGAAUUUGAAACCUGCUCUACUGAUUCCAAAUUCUCUCUAUGGUACAACACAUGUGAAAAGUCAUACACAUAUCCAUUUAGAUGUUUUCUACAAUGGAACAAUUAGGUACAGUGGAUAGAGGAAUUGUUUGGGACUCAGGAACACCUGAGUUCAAAUGUGACCUCAGACAUAUAAACAUACUGAUGUGUGAGCCUGGGCAAGUCACUUAGCUUAUUUGCAUCUAUUUUCUCAAUUUUAAAAUGGGCAUAAUAAUAGCUUUUACUUUGCAGGGCUGUUGUGAGGAUCAAAUGAGACCAUAAUUGCAAAGCACGUAGCACGAUGCCUGGCACAUAAUAAAAGGCUCCUCCACCCUUGUUGGAUUACCUCACAUCUGUUUUUAUCAACAGUUUGCAAAAGACUCUGUGUUUGUAUGUUAACUGUUUAAAAUCCCAGCUUCUCUGUGAUCAGUGUUGAGCAGGUUUCAUAGGAGGAAGAAUGAGAAGGGAAAGAAAUGGAGAGAGGAGAGAUUACAGUGGAAGAAAGACAGAGUGAGGUAGUCUGUGUUUAUUUCUCCUGAGGGAUGGGAAGGAAGAAAGAAAAAGGCUUAAUUAAAAAGAAAUAUGAGCUGAUAACUUUAUGUUUUGUUUUCAAGGCUAAUUUUAUACAGAUAGGUAGGUGUUUGCUAACCAAGGUCUUUAAUCUAAUAUUUGCUCACAUUCCUCUGACACUGAAGGAUGGUAGUAUGGUCUUUGGAUUUCUCAGACUUUUCUUCCUUUGUCCCCAGAAGAGACAACUCCCACUCACUGAGGAAAGGGCUUCUAAGUUUUACUUGCUAAAAAUUUAAGAGCCUGCCUCCAUGAUAAAUGGCCCAUGACCUCAAUUGACCUUUUCCAAGCAGCUGCUAGAAUCAUAUAGAUGAUUUCUUGCAUAUUAUGCUGAUGUCCAACAGUACUAGAGCCUAUAUUAAAAGAUACAGUGACAACCUAAAGCUCUUUUGAAGUUUCUCCUUUAUUUCCCAUCUUCAAGCUUACCUUCAGGCUUCACCUUCUCACUGCUGGUACAUGGAUUUCCAUUUCCAUUUCUCAUCUUAGCACCUAGAUUACAGUCAUGAUCCCUCAGAAUAGGAGAAAGAACAGGAGAAAUCUUAGAUUUAAAGUUGAAAUACCAGAGGGCUUUCAUUGUUGCUCUUGCCCUAUUUCUCAGUUUUAAAGCUUUUCAUUUCGAAUGGAUCGUAGUUUAUUUUACUUACUUUUGAUCUAUCUUCCUCUAAAUCAAGAAUAGAUCUAAUUUUGCUGAUUCCAGAGAUUUUGAUUCCUUGUCCAGGUUCCAAAAUCAGUCUUUUUGCCUUUAUCUUGUAUAAAUUUAAGAUUCAUUUACUGAAGAAACUCAGAGGGUACCACUUGGGAAAAUUAGAAUCUAGUACCAAAGUACAGUAUUUCACCUCUUAUUCCCUGAGAAUAGUUAUUUCAGUGAGUCACUUCUCAAUGAGUAAGAAAGAGUUUUGAAAAAUUCCAACUAAGCCACAAAGCUUGAAGGGAAGUUGGCAGAGCUUGGGAGGAGUGGAGAAGUGGUCCUUGUUUUUGUGAGAAUACAACUUGAAUUUUUCCAUCUCUGGAUUUCUUUGUUAAUAUGGGGAUCAUCACCUGUGUUGAACAGUAUCUCUUAAAAACAAACAUUUUUUUCCAAACAUAUUUAUUAUGUUGGAGGAAUAUGAAGGAUAGCAAUUAAGGACAAGUAUCAACAUGUUAAUAUUUUAAUGUUUUAUGGCCCCAAAAUGGAGGGUUUUUUUUUUAAAGUCAAGUGAUAAGAAACUGCUAAAAUAAUGUGUCAUCUUAAAAUUCUAAAAUCACCAAAAGCUACAGAGAGAACAUCUCAAAAUGUGAAAUAAAAGGGAAUUCUAGAAAAAGCUGAGAAGAGAAAAUUCAAUAGAGAUAGCCAGCGUGUCUAUACUCCAUGCUGCUAGGCACAUCUUCAGAAGCAGAUGAGUAUAUAGGGACAUCAACUUUAGUGUAAAUAUUUUGACAUCUUUCUUUUCCUGAGGUUUUAACCUUGCUGGUAAACAGGGUACAGUAAAUGAAUCGCUUUUCUGAGAAAUGACUUGAGGAAAUCAAAGCAAAAACAGGGUCAUUAGCUAAUUGUCAGACUGACUCAUGUCGUGCUUCUUAGCUGGGGUAAUAGUUGAUUAAGGUGAUUGAGUUUUGGGGGGGAUUAUUUUGGUAGUUCAUAUACAUAAUUUAUAAUAUUUUUCUGUGAAUAGAUUUGGUUAAAGCUCCAGGGAUGAUAUUGUUGUUAGAGGCACAAUUAAAGAAGGAUUCUAGGACAAGAAAGUCCUCUCAAAAUGUAUGAAAUGUUUACUUGUGAAAAGAACCUACCAUUCACAGUUGUUACUGUGCUGUGCCAGCUAUGAUUAUUAUUUUUUAUAUUCAUGAACAAUGAGAUUUUCUGCUUCUCUUAUUGCCCAUGUGGCUAACUUUGAUAAAAUGGGAUUUCUUGAAAACAUAAUGGGCGACCUUUAUGAGUUCCCUUUUCAUUGUUGUGACAGUUUCUCCCCUUCUACAUAGCAAAGUGUAGUAACGACAAUUACAAAUGAUGUAAAGUUUUAAAAUGUUUUAUAUGCUGAUCUAACAACUUAGAUGAAUUUAUACUGGUUAUAAUGACGCAAUCCUAGGGGAUAGGAAACUGGUUCUGAAAUAAGAAGACCUAAGUCUUUCACUUGAUUUGUUUCUGUGACCUAGAAAACUUCAUAUCAUUUCUCUGCCCCCUCUGAUCUGAAUUCAAGUUUCUUUUGCUGGUAAGUUUAGGGAUCAUCAGUCAUUUGGGGGAAACUAGACUAGUUCCCCAGCUGUUAUCUUUGUUUCCAAAGAAUGACUAGGUAGAAAAAUACUGCUGGGUAUUUUGUGAAGAAGCAGGAAGAGAUAUAGAGGAGUGGAGGCACAAGUCCUGUGAGAAGGGAAGUUACAUUUCAGACCUCUGGCUUCUAUUUAUACUUUGGGUGUCACCACACCUGCCUGGUUCAUUAUUUCUCCCAAUUACUAAAUAAAAUUAAAUUUUAGUUGUUAUUGCUUUAGAACUCUGUGAAGAUAAAUGAGAUAAAUAAAAAUACUUUGAGAUCAUUUAGAAGAUAAUUUUUCAAUCCUACAUUUGUUGUUGUUAUUGUUGAGUCAUUUCUGUUGUGUCCAGUUCUUUGAAAUGUUCUUAAUAAAAAUACUGGAGUGUUUUUCCAUUUCCUUCUCUAGCUCAUUUUAUAGAUAGGAAUUGAGGCUAACAAGGUAAAAUGAUUUGCCCAGGGUCGCAUGGCUAGGAAGUAUCUGAGGCCAGAUUUGAAUUAAAAGCCUCCUGACUCUAUCCACUGCACCACCUAAGUGGCCUCAAAUGUUAGAUAGUAGUAAUAAAAUUUAUGGGUAAUCAUAGAUUUGGAGCUAGAAGGGAAGGGAGAUGAGCAUUCAUUAAGUGUCUACUGUGUACCAGGCACUGCGCUAAGUACUUUGUAAAUAUCAUUUCAUUUAAAAGAGCUUAGAAAUCAUCUAACUAGAUCAUUAUGGCUGAAGAGUCUGCAGCCUGUGACUCCCAUGGUCACACAGUAAACAACUGAGCUCAGAUUGUAAUUCAGACAUUUCAAAUCUACACUACAUUAUCCCUUCCUUUGUUAUCAGUAAUUAUUACUAUGCUGAUAAUAGCUCUAAAGUUAAUAAAAUCUAUCAGCAAUCUAAAAGCUUAAACUUUUUCUAAUUCCUUUUAUGCUAGUAAUAUUUAUGUUGGUUUAAGUUAAUAUUAGUUUAGCCUGUUGUCUAAAUAUCAUGCCUAUUCUAAUGUAAACCAAGGAAAUAAGCAAUCCAUGCCUAAAAUAUCCUAAAGGAAAAGGAAAAAAAAAACCUAAAAAAAAAAAAAAAAAGAAAAUGUUUACACAUUUUCCAGGAAAGUAUCAUUCUGCUCCGCCCCUCCCUUUUUUUUACCCCCCCCCCCAUGGAAAAUAAAACAAACAAACAAACAAAGGGUGACUUAAUUGGCUUUUUUAUGAUUGGGAUUGGAAUAAACAACUCCUUAAUAAAGGAACUGACUCAGAGAGAUGGAUAUAGCAGCAUCAGAGACUAACGGAAUUCUUGACACUUUCUGGUCCCUCUCCACCCCCUUUCUUUCAGGAGAAGUCAAAAAAAUUCAGCUAGAAUCCAGAUUAUGUGUGUGGUAUCUUUAUCUGAUUGACCUCAUACUCCUAAUCAUGUCUUGUCUUUGCUUGUAAAUUAUUAGUUACUCCCUUCCUUUUUCUUAAGCACAUUACUUCUUUAAAUGUUAUACAUACACAGUUUUUAUUCCCCACUCCAGGAAAACAUAGCUACUGGAAGGUCUUAGGUUCUAUGGAAAUUUUCCACCAGACAAUGCAUUUUAUGAGUUGAAUGUUGAAAGCAAGCCUUGGCAUUGCUAGCAAAUUCUAGCUCAUUAGAACAGCAUUGCUGAUAGCCACUCUCUCCCAAAGCAAAUAACUGUAUUCAGAGAAGUAGUAAAGAAUGGGAAUUUAUUUAUUUCACUUCCUGUGUCUUUCCUUAGCAGUGGAUGAGGACGAUCAGUUACUAAAACAUUGGUGAUAAUUAGUAAAUAAUAACUAAAAAAAGAAAAAAUAAGAAAAACUUAUAUUUAUAUAGCACAUUUUACCCCCAAAGAAUUUUCUCUCCAUUAUUUCAUUUAUCUUUACAGUCACAUUGUAAAAUGGGUAGUGCCAAUAUUAUUGUCCCUAUUUUACAGAUCAGGAAACUGAGUCUCAGAGGGGUCAAAUUACUAGCUCAGUGUCACAUAGUAUUUUGGGAAAUCUAAUUUUUGAGACUCCAAGUUCAGUAUGCUUUAUGCUGUCUAUACAUGCUGCCUAUAUUUAUAAAAAUGUAUUUUUUGGAUUUUUAAAACAUUUCCUGUACUACUCCUUUUCUCAGUCUGAAUACUGAGUAUUUCUCCUGUGCUUUUGAAAUCAGAUGGAAUAUAGGCUUAAAGUCCUGGAAAAAGAAACCCAAAACUAUUCUUAUGCUUAUAACAACAACGCCUCUAAAAAGACAUAAAAUCUGACAGCAGUCCAAAGACUAAAGUACCUCGAACUCCUUUUAUGUUUGUAAUAUGUGUGUUUAAAUGGAUGUUGGUAUAGCCUGUUGUCUAAAUAACAUGCCCAUUCUAAUAUAAACCAGGAAACAAGAAAUCCACUUUUUCUUCAUUUUUAACUACUGUUAUCUCCCCUUCCACCAUGAAAAGACUAUCGGUCCCUUUUGGUAGUAACUUUAUUGACUCAGUAUCAAUUUUUUUCCACCAUGAUGUUUCAUUAAAUGGAGAUUGACAUGCUAUAAGGGUCUACAAAACAAAGGAUAUAGUGGUAGUGUCUCUCUCUCUCUCUCUCUCUCUCUCUCUCU